UUUGUAUUCUGACCUUUUUGCUUCAUUCCAGCAAAAAUUUUCACUUGCUUGUACGGUGGAAAUAAAAUGUGUAUUGUUUUGUGACACUUAGAGAAUGUUGAAUGCGUAGUUAAACUUAAGGUAAUUAAAAGAUUAGCAUUAUGUAAUUCCAAUCUUUUGAUCUUCGUUCAGUGAAAUCUAGGCGUCACGGCUCACUGGCAUUUCAGGUGUGAACAACAUUUCGUAUCGGAAUGGUAAACGGGAGUCAGUCAUAGUUUUAGACACAGAAAUGUAAAAAAAAAAAGAAUUACAAUUAAUUAACGGGAAUAAUAAGGUCGCACAAUAACUGG
This 329-nucleotide long non-coding RNA is filed under the name Mytilus galloprovincialis (Mediterranean mussel). The record is from RNAcentral. Lineage: Eukaryota; Metazoa; Mollusca; Bivalvia; Mytilida; Mytilidae.